Molecule: long non-coding RNA, 345 nt
Filed under: Musa acuminata (dwarf banana)
Lineage: Eukaryota; Viridiplantae; Streptophyta; Magnoliopsida; Zingiberales; Musaceae
Description: long non-coding RNA (MACU_LNC009334)
Source: RNAcentral
CGGAGUGGCACUAAGAGGGGGGUGGGGUGAAUUAGUGUAACGGAUUAAAACUUCAGUUUUGGAAAUAUCUUUCGUACGAUAAAGAACCGAACUCGGAAGUGCUUAACUUGAAAGCGUGUUCGUAAAGGUGUGCAGCAAAAGUAAUGAGGAAGUAAAGCACGUAUGAAGGUUUGUAGUAAGGUAAAUAGCAAUAAGUAAAUGCAAACCAGAGAACACACCAAUUUAAAGUGGUUCGGUCAAAAUGACCUACAUCCACUUGCGAAGCCUUCUUCGAAGAGGCUCCCAACUUCCACUAGCAAAUCACUUUGAAGGGGAAGGAAAAAUACCCCUCUUACAACCUUUUAC